UACAGAGGGUGCAAACGUUGUUCGGAAUUACUGGGCGUAAAGCGCGUGUAGGCGGCUUCGCAAGUCGGGGUGUGAAAUCCCACGGCUCAACCGUGGAAGUGCAUUCGAAACUGCAAGGCUAGAGUCCUGGAGAGGAAGGUGGAAUGCUUGGUGUAGAGGUGAAAUUCGUAGAUAUCAAGCGGAACACCGGUGGCGAAGGCGACCUCUGGACAGUGACUGACGCUGAGACGCGAAAGCGUGGGGAGCAAACAGG
This 253-nucleotide ribosomal RNA is filed under the name uncultured bacterium. Its description in RNAcentral is "partial 16S ribosomal RNA". It matches the Rfam family "Bacterial small subunit ribosomal RNA", at positions 524 to 776 of the family's 1533-position model. The record is from RNAcentral.